This 233-nucleotide long non-coding RNA is filed under the name Hordeum vulgare. RNAcentral describes it as "long non-coding RNA (HVUL_LNC015979)". The record is from RNAcentral. Lineage: Eukaryota; Viridiplantae; Streptophyta; Magnoliopsida; Poales; Poaceae.
UGGCGGUGUCCAUGACAAGGAGGGAGUAGUUCACUCUCGGGGCUGAGGGUAUGUACCAUUAGCUAUGUGUUGGCUCUCUCUCUCUCUCUCAUAUUCUUGAGAUGUCACAAUCUUGAUGUAUCCCGGGCUUUGUUAAUAUAGUUGGAUCAUAUGUUGUUCUUCCCAUGCCAUCUUGUUGUGAUGAAUUGAAUCUUUCCCUUUGAGAUCUCUUUAUGUUGGAUUGAAUAUUUUGG